AUUGAACGCUGGCGGAAUGCUUUACACAUGCAAGUCGAACGGCAGCACGGGGCAACCUGGUGGCGAGUGGCGAACGGGUGAGUAAUACAUCGGAACGUGCCCAGUCGUGGGGGAUAACGUAGCGAAAGCUACGCUAAUACCGCAUACGAUCUACGGAUGAAAGCGGGGGACUCGCAAGAGCCUCGCGCGAUUGGAGCGGCCGAUGGCAGAUUAGGUAGUUGGUGGGGUAAAGGCUCACCAAGCCUGCGAUCUGUAGCUGGUCUGAGAGGACGACCAGCCACACUGGAACUGAGACACGGUCCAGACUCCUACGGGAGGCAGCAGUGGGGAAUUUUGGACAAUGGGCGCAAGCCUGAUCCAGCCAUUCCGCGUGCAGGAUGAAGGCCUC
RNAcentral lists this ribosomal RNA (388 nucleotides) under uncultured bacterium. RNAcentral's name for it is "bacterial SSU rRNA". It matches the Rfam family "Bacterial small subunit ribosomal RNA", at positions 30 to 418 of the family's 1533-position model. The record is from RNAcentral.